This 4455-nucleotide long non-coding RNA is filed under the name Gallus gallus (chicken). Its description in RNAcentral is "lncRNA (ENSGALG00010020355.1)". Lineage: Eukaryota; Metazoa; Chordata; Aves; Galliformes; Phasianidae. The record is from RNAcentral.
CUGAAGGCUAGGUUAGGGCUGCUGGUGAUGGCAAGGUGUCUGAGCCAAGUUCAGUUAUGGUAGAAUGCCCAUUCCUGCUAAGCAAAGAUGUGUGGUUCUCCAGGGCAAAUUGAGGGCUUAAGGCAGGGAGAGGAGAGGAGAAGGCAGAUGGUAGCAGGGCAGGGUCUGGCUUUUGAAUGGACUUGCUUUACCUGGCUGCUGCUGCAGCCUACAUUAAUGUGCUACAUAAAGAAUGAGAGUUCCUGCUUGCUGUGCCGUUGGCCCUUGUGGAGUCUUUAUCAACCCUGACAAAUCUUUGUUUAAACUUCUGCUCCGUGAUGGAGAAAAUUUCUCCUCCUCGGGUUGUUCCACUUCCUUCUGUUGAGAAGGCUCUCUAAACCCUAACCUGUGAUUUAAGCCCAUCAUUCACUACUUCCACUCCUGGUGGCUGAUGAUUCACAGUUUAACAGAUAUCCCUGCACAAAGGCCGUGCUGGUGAGGGCUGUUCCCAGCCAGAUGUGCUGGGAUGAACAUUGGCAGCAUGGAAAGAAGACAGUGAACUAGCAGAUGCCUGUGUCACCAAAGGGUAGGCAUUUUCAAAUGUAUAUAUGAAACCCGAGCCGGGAGAGGAAAGGGAAUCGGAGCACAAAAAGAUCAAAAAGGAUGCUGUGAAGGAUGAGUCAAAAGUAACUGCAGCAGAACUGAACAGCCAUCAUCUGUUUGGUGAUGAGAGAGAAAGGGGAAAAGUGAGGGAACAUUUCAGUGGAGUGGCUGAGCUCUGACUUUAUCUGUUUGUAAGCCCAGGGAGAGAAGGCAGCCCCAGUGCUUAGUGCUGGGAUGUGAUGUACGGCGUGCUGUGCUAAGACGCUGCGGAGGUUUCUUUACACUGAACAGCAAGGGGGUGGCUUUGAGCUCUGCUUCUUGUCAGCUGUGAACACUGUGAGCGAUCCUGGUUUAACUCCGCUUUCCUCCUCGCCGUGCUGUCCUUACCACACUCUCAUCCUUAAAAGAAAAAAAACCCCAAAAGCGUGACAACGUGUCAGUGCUGUACGAAUGCAAGGAAACGAACACGGGAUGAAGGAAGAGCAGAAUGGAUGCAUCACAGGCAUGCUGCAGCCACCCAUCGCCCAGCAAAACUGGUUUUGUCUGACAAAAAACCAGAACCACUGCCAGGACAUUUUGCUUCGGUUUAGGUUUAUUUGCUAGAAUUGUUUGUGGUUAGGAACGAGAGCAAGGUUCACUUGUAAUAAUAACGUAACCAUGGCAAUAUGUAACACAAGCUGAUGUCAGUCUGACUCGCUGAUAAGAUUUAUGUCCUAAUAUAUUAUCCAAUGCAAUUAAGAAAUGAUUAGAAAAUUAACAUUAGAAUAGAUUAAAAUAAAGUAUUAGAGGUCUCGUGGCAGCUGUGGGUCUGAAGCACGGUCCCCAAGUGGUUGUUUCUGGAUAAUGUAUCACCCUGCCCCAGACGUGCUGCGUUACAGCAAGGAAAGCAAUUGCCUUCAUUUUACAAACAGGGAAUUGUAACGUUCCUCUUAAUUUCUGCAAUUUCCUGCACUCGUUUCAGCGUGGCCAGACAGAAAUUAACCCAGGAAAUGCAACAAGUGCUAUCUGCUCUCAUUUCAUCUAAAAUGAGCUGAAUGGUCAGGAGGGCUGGAGGAUGGAGAGACAACUGUGUGCAUCCGGGUGUGAGCUUUGCUUGCUACCUCAGGCAGUGGUAUGAGGUAGCAAUGAGGUAUUGCUACCUCGGGUCAGUGAGAUGGGCGUCUGGAACUCAUGCCUGUUUGGUGCCUUGGUUUCUCUGUUGGCAAAAUGCACAGAGAUGACAGCUCUAGCAAAACUCUGGAGCCGAACCGAUGUGUUUUAGACUCACUGCCCAUCACAUGACUAUUGCUUUCUUGGGACUGCAGUUAUAGGACCAGUGGCAGCCGUCUGCUGUUUCUCAUCUUGUAAGCUCUGUGGGGCAGAGCCACUUCUUUAUUUGCAGCAUUGCUCCCACCUGGCAAUAUAAUCAUAAGAGGUGAGCCAGGAUAAUCAAAGACGACAAGCAUUUUCAUAACCGCCUCUGCACCAGGCAGAAUUACACCUCUCAACACAUCCUAGCAACAGAGCUCCUCCUUCACAUUCCCUCUUUCUUUGCAAAUAACUCACUGACUCCAUCCUUGCAGUUUCCACGUGCAAAUUUAAGAUGGGGAGACUGGGAGGCCCUGGCACUGCUGCCCAGACCUGUGGGUGCCCCAUCCCUGGAGGUGCCCAAGGCCAUGGAUGGGGCCCUGGGCAGCCUGAGCUGAUGGGGCGCAACCCAACCCACGGCAGGGAGCUGGAACUGGAUGAUCCCUUCCAACCCAAACCAUUCUAUGAGUCUAAGAUUUUUCUUUGGGGAUUAUCAGUUGAUUAACCCAGUGAAUGCACAGCCACUGGACAACGAAGUGUAAGAAUAAGUCCUCCAGGCAUUUGGUUGGCCAGGAGAGGAAAUGUUUCUGGAUUUGGAGACUUUUUUUCAUACGAGCUCUAUUACUAAGCCCUUACCAAGAGUUUUGGGACGUUUCAUUUGCUAAGAAAGAGGCCUCCAAAGGUCAUCCAGUUGGAGCUCAUCUGAGGACUUGGAACCUCCCUCUUGCCUCAUGCUGUUUUUUCUCUGGAACAAAUGACUGCAAUGUAACUGGCAGGGGAGGAGCCAAUCUUCCCAGUCCCCUUGUUCCUACCUUGAUUAAAGCAAAUGCUUUACAUGAGGAUGAUACCUGGCAAAGGCAGCCUUCUGUCCAGCCUCUCCUCUCACUGCCCUCCUCUGGUUCCAUUUUUCACCUAUAUUCCACUACCUGUGGAUGGACUUCUUGUCCUGCUGCUUACGGACUCUUUAUUUAGAAUCACAGGAACUUAGAAUCAUUAAGGUUGGAAAAAAACCUCCCAGAUCCCCAAGCCCAGCCCACCACCCCAUACCCACUGCCCACAUCUUUCAGUGCCACAUCUCCAUGGCUCUGGAACACCUUCAGGGACGGUGACCCCACCACUCCCUGGGCAGCUGUGCCACUGCAUCACCACUCCUGUAGAGAAGAAAUGUUUCCUAAAAUCCAACCUGAACUUCCCCUGGAGCAACUUGAAGCCAUCACUUCUCAUCUUCAAGUUGCUUUCUGCACAGUAUCACCCUAACCAAAUUAAAGGGACUGUAUUUCAUGCUCAUUCUCUUUGGUCUUCUUGCUGCCUUCGAACUCUGCCUUUCUGGGUUCUCCCUCUGCUCCUCUCCAUGACCCACACUCUGCUGAGCAUCCCCCUUGUUCUUGCAGCCUUCUGUGACUCUUCCAUCACCCCCAGUGUCUCAGACCACAUCUUUUCUUUCUGCUGUUCUCAUCAUUUUCACGUUCCUUGCUGGCUGCUCAUCAUACACCUCUUACACUGCUGUCCAGCCUUCUAAGUCCCACCACUUCUCUGGCACUUUAUUAUUCCUCUGUCCGUGUGGUGAAACCUGAGCAUCUCUGUUACAGGUUGCCUUUCCCUUCCUCUUAGGUGCUCCCAGCCACGCGGUGAGUUUGGUUUAGUAGAGCCAAGCUGCGUUCUCCUCUCCACGUGAUGCAUGCAGCUGACAGGUUUGGCAGUUCUCGUGUUGCUUUUCCUUCCUGCAACUGAUGCGCUGUGAAGGAUGAACAUGGAAAUGUAAGCAGGGAGAACAGGAGGCUGGCAGCAUCCUGUCCUCUUCAGAGUGGAAGAGCUGCCUUGGGAAGGAGGAAUUGGACAGAAAUCUGCAAUAACUGGCAAAAUAAAUAAAUCUGAGCAUUAAGGCAGCAGCUAGCCAGCACUGCAUUUUACAUUUGAAGCUACGUCUACCCUGCACAGAGCACAAUAGCACAGAAAGAGUUGAAAUAGCUCUGCAUAAAUAUUGCAUGAAGCCUUAUGCACAAAUGUAUACGAAGCACGGAGCUACCUGCAAGAUCUGGCUGAAAAGCAUGAAGGAAAAUGUGGGCACUCUGUGGUCCCCUAUCUGGAGAGCUGCUGGUACUGGCCUGGGGAGGUAACUGGCAUUGCAACACAGCUCUCAGCACAAACAUGCUCAGAGGGUGCUGCGUGCCAAGCGCCGUGCAGGAGAUGAAGCCAUGGAGCAGGCUUUUAGGCUCUUUGUGACGACGCCCACCACCUACAGUGGAUGAAGCAGGUGCCUCGCACCCCACAACGUAUCCUGUGCUGCAGACAGCGUGGUAGCAGGAAGACAACCUCGUCUGAGAGCUCAGAGCCAGCACACCACAGCCACAGUCUGAGCAGCACAGGGUGAGCAUCUCACUACACCCAUGUCUGAGAGCUGCCCUAUGGCAGGCUACUGUGCUUCCAAACAAACCCCAUCUUGUGCGGGGCUCCCUGAGUGCUUCCUUCUCUCCCCUUCCAUUCCCCACCCCUCAGAACAAGCCCGGAAUGCAGUUUUUGUGCUAUUUGCACUGUAACAUUUUCCUUUUUUUUUUUUAUCUUCACCGUCUGCGUUUUUCCCCCUCC